UACGGAAGGCAGCAGUGGGGAAUAUUGCACAAUGGGCGAAAGCCUGAUGCAGCUAUGCCGCGUGUAUGAAGAAGGCCUUAGGGUUGUAAAGUACUUUCAUCGGGGAGGAAAAAACAAAACUAAUAAUUUUAUUUCUUGACGUUACCCGAAAAAGAAGCACCGGCUAACUCCGUGCCAGCAGCCGCGGUAAUACGGAGGGUGCUAGCGUUAAUCAGAAUUACUGGGCGUAAAGAGCACGUAGGUGGUUUUUUUAAAGUCAGAUGUGAAAUCCCUGGGCUUAACCUGGAACUGCAUUUUGAAACUGAAAUACUAGAGUAUCGUAGAGGGAGGUAGAAUUCUAGGUGUAGCGGUGAAAUGCGUAGAUAUCUGGAGGAAUACCUGUGGCGAAAGCGGCCUCCUAAACGAAUACUGACACUGAGGGUGCGAAAGCGUGGGGAGCAAACGAGGGAUUAGAUACC
This 458-nucleotide ribosomal RNA is filed under the name uncultured bacterium. RNAcentral describes it as "bacterial SSU rRNA". It matches the Rfam family "Bacterial small subunit ribosomal RNA", at positions 340 to 786 of the family's 1533-position model. The record is from RNAcentral.